This 62-nucleotide transfer RNA is filed under the name Coptosoma variegatum. RNAcentral describes it as "tRNA-Gly". It matches the Rfam family "tRNA". Rfam says of the family: Transfer RNA (tRNA) molecules are approximately 80 nucleotides in length. Their secondary structure includes four short double-helical elements and three loops (D, anti-codon, and T loops). Further hydrogen bonds mediate the characteristic L-shaped molecular structure. tRNAs have two regions of fundamental functional importance: the anti-codon, which is responsible for specific mRNA codon recognition, and the 3' end, to which the tRNAs corresponding amino acid is attached (by aminoacyl-tRNA synthetases). tRNAs cope with the degeneracy of the genetic code in two manners: having more than one tRNA (with a specific anti-codon) for a particular amino acid; and 'wobble' base-pairing, i.e. permitting non-standard base-pairing at the 3rd anti-codon position. Lineage: Eukaryota; Metazoa; Arthropoda; Insecta; Hemiptera; Plataspidae. The record is from RNAcentral.
AUCUAUUUAGUAUAAUUAAUAUAUUUGACUUCCAAUCAAAAGAUCUCCUUCAAGAAUAGAUA